RNAcentral lists this ribosomal RNA (428 nucleotides) under uncultured bacterium. Its description in RNAcentral is "partial 16S ribosomal RNA". It matches the Rfam family "Bacterial small subunit ribosomal RNA", at positions 354 to 796 of the family's 1533-position model. The record is from RNAcentral.
GUAGGGAAUAUUGCGCAAUGGACGAAAGUCUGACGCAGCGACGCCGCGUGAGUGAUGAAGGCCUUAGGGUCGUAAAGCUCUGUUGAAUGGGAAGAAAAAAAUGACGGUACCAUUCGAGGAAGGACCGGCUAACUUCGUGCCAGCAGCCGCGGUAAUACGAGGGGUCCUAGCGUUGUUCGGAAUCAUUGGGCGUAAAGGGUGUGUAGGUGGCCAUGUAAGUCAGGUGUGAAAGCCCCGGGCUCAACCCGGGAAGUGCACUUGAUACUGCGUGGCUUGAGUACCGAAGAGGGUAGUGGAAUUCCAUGUGUAGUGGUGAAAUACGUAGAUAUCUGGAGGAACACCGGUGGCGAAGGCGGCUACCUGGUCGAGUACUGACACUGAGACACGAAAGCAUGGGGAUCAAACAGGAUUAGAUACCCGAGUAGUCC